Molecule: long non-coding RNA, 2048 nt
Organism: Homo sapiens (human)
Lineage: Eukaryota; Metazoa; Chordata; Mammalia; Primates; Hominidae
Exons: 1
Source: RefSeq, marked predicted
GCUCCCGGAAGCGGCACGGGAGGCGACCGUGCUCGCCGUUGGCAGGCUAGGGUUGGCGGCGGCGUAUUCUGUUUGUUUUAAACGAAGGAGCGGAGGGAGGGGCCGCGCCGCGGAGCGUGCCUAAGGUGAAAGGGCUGCCGUGCAGCCAGGCAGAGGCGAGGAAGGCUUCUCCAUCGUCGCCACCGCCCGCCUGUUUCGCCGGCAACAGGUUCCCCCGGGACGGGAGGGGCCGCAGCGCCGCGCAGCUCGCAGCGCUGAACGUCGCGGAAAUCCCUUGGCCGGCCGAGCCUCCGCAGCCGCGACCCGGCUUCUCUCCGUCCGAGUCCCCCGAGCCUCUCCGAACCCCCGUUGGACUUCCCCUCCCUGGCCGGCGCCGCCCGACCCGCUCCCCCAUCCUAGAGGGAAUUCCCUGCGCCGCGGCUGUGAGGCACCUCCACCCCGGCCUGAAAUGCACCGCAGUCCUGAAGGAAAUCCACCCUCAUCCCACGCAGAUUCACCCGCAACGCUGCCUGAAUACGCCUCGCUGCCCACAGAAAUUCCUGCCCAAACCAGACGCGUGGACCACCCAAGACGAAAUUCACACUCGACCCUAGCCCCGCCAGCCCUUGCCGAAAUCACCCUAAACCCGUUGAAAUUAAUUCCCAGCUGUCCGAAUUUUCCUUCCAACAUUAACUGACUACCUGUCUCCGCCAAGCUGACUGAACUCUACCGAACUCUUACCCUGAAAGCCCCUGAGAGUCCAAAAUAUAUUUUUCCAGCCCGAAAUCUAAAUCCCAGUUCUCUGUAUGAAAACCUCCAGAAACCCAGACUCUUACUUCCUUCGGCCACGGACUCGUUCGAACAUCGUGGACAUCACCUUCCCACAUUUUUACCGCAGUCUUUGGCUCCGAUUCUUUGUCCCUGCCUCUUGGGCAGCAUCCUAUCCCUGUUUCUUUCCACCUUUGAGGAUUCCUCUACCUCUUUAAAGGCCUGCUUUCUUUGCUUUCUCUUCUCACCUUUGGCAUUGGCACACUGGGGUCAUAUCUUUAGUUCCCUUGACUCCACCAUCUAAGCCAAGGGUGUCCAAUCUUUUGGCUUCCCUGGGCUACAUUGGAAGGAGAAAAAUUGUCUUGGACCACAUAUAAAAUAUUCUAACGCUAAUGGUAGCUGAUGAAACUUUUAAAAAAUCUCAUCAUGUUUUAAGAAGUUUACGAAUUUGUGCUGAGCCGCAUUCAAAGCCGUCCUGGGCCUAAGUCCUUGCUAUUUUUCCUCUUCAAUUUCCUUCAAUCCAUAGUUCUCUAGGUUAUUUUCCCACCCUUUCCCAAGAUUCGGAUAUCCCUUCAUUCUUGCUGAGUUCAUCUCCUAUGCCUAUUCCUACAUACUUGCUGAGUUCAUCUUCUAAUGUCCUCAUCCUGGUUUCUUCCUGAACCUGAAAUCCAGCUAACCUUACUUUUUCAUCCCAUCAAACCCCUGCUGUUGCCAGCCCAGCACUCACGAAGAUCUUUACAUACACCAAAUAUUAAAUUAGGGCCGGUACCUAGACAUUGUCUCUGCACUCUGCUGGCAUAUUUUCCCCUGGACCACGAACCCUUCGUACCUAGUAACUUGCCACCUGUGUUUAUAAAUACCAGCAAUUUGAUUUACAGGGUGAAUUUGUCACUAUUGUUUACUUUUAAAUGAAGUUACUGUAUUUGUUGUUUCCAUUAAAGGCGACAUUAUAAAGCCUAGGCCUCAUAUCCAAAGCAAAUAAAGUCUCAAUUUUUUAAUUAAAAGUAACAAAAGGAAACCUCACACUUCUGAACAACAAUGACAAGAAGGAAUGCCUAUAAUUGGUUUGGGUCACAAUGUACAUAUUGAAAUAAAAUUUUUAUUAAGUAUCAACUUCCAGGUACACAAUGAAGUUUUAAAUGUUUAUCUGUGACAUAUGAAGAACAAAGCAAUCUAAACUGAUGUAAGCAGGCUGUCAUAAGGUACAUGCUGAGGAAUUUAUUCAACAAAUUGAAUAAAUUUAUUCAAUAAAUAAAUAAUUAUUCAAUAAAUAAUAUAUUUAAUAAAUUUAAUAAAUAGAA